AAUUUUUCUCCAAAUAUUUCCAUUUUCUUUACCCUAGCUCCCUAAGAAAAUUCUGGAGAAGACUCUGGUGUCCUCUAAGUAUGGAGUUUUCACCAUAUGGAAAAGAAAUAGUAAAAUCCAUCACCAAAAUGAUGGAUUCCUUGAAAACAUCCUUGCGAGUCAAGUUGCUGCAUUAAAAAAAAAUCCUCCCCAGUGAAGGAGAAGAUAAAGAAGAAAAGAGGAAAAGAGAAAAGGGACAAAGAGAAUCACUUCCAGGGGGUAUGAGGCUCCAGACCUUAGAGAAAUCUCUUUAUUAUGAAACUGAAGACUGGGCAUAUCUGGCCCCAGGAGAGAUUCACUUACUUGCUAAAGGCCAGCUAUAUCUUCGAGGAGAUCCUCCCCAGGGGGAAGAACAGAUAAAAGGGGAAGUGGAGGUAAUUGUCAUUGUUGACCCUGUUUUUAUCCAUAGUUCAUGAAUCAUCACCGGAACACACAAUGAUGCUGAAUGUUCUCUCCAGCCUUAGGAUUUUUGUUCAAGCAAGCUCAGUUUUGAUGGCCUUUUUUGUAUGAUCAUUUUUUAAAGAAGUAUGUGAAUAUUUUAUUGUCAAAUAAUACUGAUGAAAAAAUAGAGUUGUUUUUCUCCUUGUUAAAAGAAGUAAAUGGGUUGAUAAAGCUGUUCUUUACCUACUUACUAUAUAAUCUGCCCUUAGAGCAGAGUUGAUUCUCAAGAGAAAUAUUUUUGCUUUGUGUUGGGCUUAUAUUCUUAAUUAUUGGAAGAAAAAGAGCAUAAGUUUCUCACUUUUAAAAGAAGCUAGGAUUGGGGUGCCUGGGUGGCUCAGUCGGUUGAACUUCCGACUUCAUCUAAGGUCAUGAUCUCAUGAUUUGUAGGUUCCAGCCCCGCUUCGGGCUCUGUGCUGACAGCUCAGAGCCUGGAGCCCGCUUCAGAUUCUGUCUCCCUUUCUCUCUGCCCCUCCCCCACUCACACUCGUCUGUCUCGAAAAUAAACUUAAAAAAAAACUUUUUUUAAAUGGAAGAAGCUAGGAUUAUCUAUAAUUGUGUUACUUUUUCUAUGUGUAUUUUAACAUAUUGUAUUGUCAUUUUAUUUUCUUUUAAGUUUAUUUAUUUAUUUUGAGAGAGAGAAAGAGAGAGAGAACAUAAGAAAGAGAGAGAGGAGAGAGAGAAUCCCGAGCAGGCUCCACACUGUUAGCGCAGAACCCGACAGGGGGCUGGAACUCACGAACCAUGAGAUCAUGACCAAAACUGAAAUCAAAAGUCAGAUGCUUAACCUACUAAGUCCCUCAGUCCCCCAGCCCCCUGAACUGUAUUGUCACUUUAACGGGUAAUUAAACUACACCAUUUAUUUUUAUCAGGCACCCAUCCUUUUAUCACAACCAAGUGACCAAAUGUCCUCUCAUAAUCAUUUUCAU
Long non-coding RNA from Acinonyx jubatus (cheetah), 1406 nucleotides. RefSeq lists it as uncharacterized. The record is from RefSeq and is a predicted model, not a curated record. The transcript has 3 exons. NCBI's taxonomy places the organism in Eukaryota, Metazoa, Chordata, Mammalia, Carnivora, Felidae.